GAUGAACGCUGGCGGUGUGCCUAAUACAUGCAAGUCGAGCGAACGGACGAGAAGCUUGCUUCUCUGAUGUUAGCGGCGGACGGGUGAGUAACACGUGGAUAACCUACCUAUAAGACUGGGAUAACUUCGGGAAACCGUAGCUAAUACCGGAUAAUAUUUUGAACCGCAUGGUUCAAAAGUGAAAGACGGUCUUGCUGUCACUUAUAGAUGGAUCCGCGCUGCAUUAGCUAGUUGGUAAGGUAACGGCUUACCAAGGCAACGAUGCAUAGCCGACCUGAGAGGGUGAUCGGCCACACUGGAACUGAGACACGGUCCAGACUCCUACGGGAGGCAGCAGUAGGGAAUCUUCCGCAAUGGGCGAAAGCCUGACGGAGCAACGCCGCGUGAGUGAUGAAGGUCUUCGGAUCGUAAAACUCUGUUAUUAGGGAAGAACAUAUGUGUAGGUAACUGUGCACAUCUUGACGGUACCUAAUCAGAAAGCCACGGCUAACUACGUG
This 497-nucleotide ribosomal RNA is filed under the name uncultured bacterium. Its description in RNAcentral is "partial 16S ribosomal RNA". It matches the Rfam family "Bacterial small subunit ribosomal RNA", at positions 28 to 507 of the family's 1533-position model. The record is from RNAcentral.